GAAAUAAUAACUAAAGAUAAGCUUCUAACUUAAUCUUAAAGCGUUGAAACACGUUUUUAUUUCA
RNAcentral lists this transfer RNA (64 nucleotides) under Novofoudrasia regularis. RNAcentral describes it as "tRNA-Ser". The record is from RNAcentral. Lineage: Eukaryota; Metazoa; Arthropoda; Insecta; Coleoptera; Chrysomelidae.